CCUACGGGGGGCAGCAGUGGGGAAUAUUGGACAAUGGGGGCAACCCUGAUCCAGCCAUGCCGCGUGUGUGAAGAAGGCCCUCGGGUUGUAAAGCACUUUCAGUGAGGAAGAACGCCUGGUGGUUAAUACCCAUCAGGAAAGACAUCACUCACAGAAGAAGCACCGGCUAACUCCGUGCCAGCAGCCGCGGUAAUACGGAGGGUGCGAGCGUUAAUCGGAAUUACUGGGCGUAAAGCGCGCGUAGGUGGCUUGAUAAGCCGGUUGUGAAAGCCCCGGGCUCAACCUGGGAACGGCAUCCGGAACUGUCAAGCUAGAGUGCAGGAGAGGAAGGUAGAAUUCCCGGUGUAGCGGUGAAAUGCGUAGAGAUCGGGAGGAAUACCAGUGGCGAAGGAGGCCUUCUGGACUGACACUGACACUGAGGUGCGAAAGCGUGGGUAGCACACAGGAUUAGAUACUCUAGUAGUC
Molecule: ribosomal RNA, 465 nt
Filed under: Vreelandella stevensii
Lineage: Bacteria; Pseudomonadati; Pseudomonadota; Gammaproteobacteria; Oceanospirillales; Halomonadaceae
Description: partial 16S ribosomal RNA
Rfam family: Bacterial small subunit ribosomal RNA
Source: RNAcentral